Molecule: ribosomal RNA, 120 nt
Filed under: uncultured bacterium
Lineage: Bacteria
Description: partial 16S ribosomal RNA
Rfam family: Bacterial small subunit ribosomal RNA
Source: RNAcentral
GACGAACGCUGGCGGCGUGCUUAACACAUGCAAGUCGAGCGAGGCCCCGCCUUCGGGUGGGUGUUCUAGCGGCGAACGGGUGAGUAACACGUGGGCAACCUGCCCCCGGCUCUGGGAUAA